This 505-nucleotide long non-coding RNA is filed under the name Nicotiana benthamiana. Its description in RNAcentral is "long non-coding RNA (NBEN_LNC011492)". The record is from RNAcentral. Lineage: Eukaryota; Viridiplantae; Streptophyta; Magnoliopsida; Solanales; Solanaceae.
UUUAUACCUCCUCAGAUCUUGAAUAAAGAGAAGGCCCCAUCACCAACUUUGCUGAUACAGACUUAAAUCAAAUGCAGGACCUGAUUCGAUUCUAGUCCUAGUAGAUAAUUGCUAGAUUUAUUAGUAAAGACAACCAGCAUCUUCCAUCCUUAUUCCAACUGCUAGUGACAUUACUGCCAACUUUUAUUUUUCUUUCAAAACUUCAACACAAAACAUCAACUCCAACCCUGGAAUAGUUUAUCCUCAAAGAAUGAGUAACAUGAGCUAUGAAUGUAGUAUCCUCUGUUUACUUUUCAUUCUUUUGUUUUAAUGAAGCAGUUUGGAUGCACUAUUAUCGAUUCGUUACACAUUUAAAAUUUUGUAUACUGUAUAGGAAGGAAAGUUAGGAAGAUCGUGACAUUUUGGUUGUGCCAGUGCACCCCUUACAUGGUCAAAAUGAUGAAAGUAGAAAAAAACAAUGUAUGAGAUAUUCACAUUAAAGACUGAGAAAUUCAAUAAUAUUGUA